Acinonyx jubatus (cheetah) is the source of this 3119-nucleotide long non-coding RNA. RefSeq lists it as uncharacterized. The transcript has 4 exons. The record is from RefSeq and is a predicted model, not a curated record. NCBI's taxonomy places the organism in Eukaryota, Metazoa, Chordata, Mammalia, Carnivora, Felidae.
AAUACACGAACCACUGCCGUCUCCAAAACCGUGUGUAUGACUCCUAAAAGUUCGGAAACGAAGCCAGCCCCACGUACGUAUUGUUCAAGAACAGAGACGUCCCCGCCGAGGAACCUGUUCACAGGUGCCCCUCGCUUUUCGAACGUUUGUGUUACGCCACUUGGCUUUUACGACAGACCUCCUUUACUACGGUAACGGUUUUCGCCAACCCGCCAGGAUUCCAAAGAGGUUGUCCCCCUUUAUGACAAAAUCGGACAAGGGGAAGUGCACCGGCCGGGGGUUUGGCAGCGAGCCUGGACGGUGGUGGCAGCCGCAGCCCCGCGCCCCAGCCGGGCAGCGAACGUGGCGCCAUCCAGCACCUUCCCCGGGAACCACGCGCAGCGUCUCGGCCUCGGCCGCUGCGGAGCUCGGAGCUUGUCUGGACCUGCUGGGGAGAGGGACGGACAUCUCCACGAUGGAGGCCUGCGGGUUGGCUGUGGUUCAUCUGAUUGGACAGCAUCUUACCGUUUGGGGAGUUCAGAUGGGGGAUACCUGUAUACAUGUGGAGGCUCCUACACCACUCCUGUGCCAGCAGUGUCUUGUAACUUCCCACGUACGGAGAAGCUGCCCACCUUCCUGAAGGUGUUGGGGACGUGGAUGGGAGGAGGGCCACCAUCCACAGGCAAGGGCUUUUCCUAACACGGCCAGCCCUCCCUCAUCCACUGAGACCAACUCAACAACAACAACAACAAAAAGCACGUGUGGAAAGAGAUGCAAAUCAAGGGAUCCUUGAAUGGAGAAAUGUCAGAGGUCUGGACUGACUUUGAGGCACUGACUUUUGUGAUUUACUUAAUGCCAAACAAAGUCAUUGUUAAUUGGCACUUGAAGAAAGAACUGCAUAUAUUGAGAACCAGCACCGUGGCAGGUACUGUCCUCAGUGGUUUACGAACGCUCUUUCAUUGAGCACUCACAACAAAUGUGUAAAGAGGAUGUAGUCAUCCUCGGCUUCCAGAUGGGAACCUGAGAGGUGGUAAAUGAUCUUCCUAAAGUUUCCCAGAGUUGUUAGCAGGCGGCAGAGCCUGGGUUCGAAUCCAGCAAUAGCCUAUGUCAGACCCUGUGCCCUCUCCGCAAAACUACCCGGCUUCCCACGCGGUCUGGACAUUCCCAGGAUACACUUCCAUACCUUCCUAGGUACCAGAAGCAGGAAACAUGUUUCCUGUGUGGUCAAAAGCAGCAGGGGUUCCUAAAUUUUAACGUGCAUGCAAAUCACCUGAGGCCUGGCUGAAACGAGGAUCCUGAGGCAGUAGGUCUAGAGUAGGUCCUCAGAACCCUCAUUUUGAACAAGCUACCAGGUGAUGCUGGCACUGCCAGUCCUUGGAUGACACUUUGAGUAGCAAGUGUGAAGGGCAAGACUGGAAUCCAUUAUUAUGGAGUCACAUCUCAGACUUAAAAUAGAAACGUGGACGUAUUUUGCACUCCUACAUCUACCUUUGUCAGAGAUAUGUAUCAUAGGUUUUGUUUUGUUUCGUUUCGUUUCGUUUCGUUUCGUUUCAUUUCGUUUCCUUUUCCAGUCUGAAGCUUUGCCUUUUCAUGGUGCAUUGAUGGCAUUUUUUUUUUUUUUUGAAAAGAAGUCUUUCAUUUUGGGGAAAUCUAGUUUCUUUUCUUUUAUGGUUGGUGCGUAUCAUUUUCUAAGAGAUGUUUGCCAAAUUUAAGUGCUUAAAUAUUUUCUCUAUAUUUUCUUCUAGAACUUUUGUUGCUUUAUUUAUUUAUUUUUUAAUUUUUAAUAUUUAUUUUUGAGAGAGAGAUCGACAGAGUGCGAGUGGGGGAGGGACAGAGAGAGAGAGGGAGACACAGAAUCCGAAGCAGGCUCCAGGCUCUGAGUUGUCAGCACCGAGCCCGACGCGGGGCUCAAACUCACAAACCAUGAGAGCAUGGCCUGAGCCGAAGUCGGCCGCUUAACCGACUGAGCCACCUAGGCGCCCUGAACUUUUGUUGUUUUAGAUUCUACAUAGAUCUAUAAUCCCUUUUGUAUGAGUAUUUAUGUAUAUAGUGAGAGAAGGUUUGAAAUUUUUUCUAUGCCGAUUUUAUUUCAGUGCUGUUUCUUCAAUGACCAUCACUUCCCCAUUAAAUCACCUUGGUAUCUUUGCCAAAAAUCAAUUGACCACAGAUGGGUGGGUGUUAUUUUUAGACUCUUUAUUGAUCAGUAUAUCUAUACUUAUACCAAUGCCACCUGUAUUAUAACUUUAUAGUAAAUCUUGAAAUCAAGUAGCAUGAAGUAGCUCUCUAACUUGUUUGUUCUUUUAUAAAAUCGCUUAGGCCUUUCUUUGAAUUUCCGUAUAAAUUUUAAAAUAAACUUAAGGCAUACAGAGAUUUUGAAUUGGAUUUUGUUAACUCUGUCAAUCAGUUUAAGGAAAAUUAACAUUGUAAAAAAUAUUAACCUUGAAAUCCAUAAGAAUUUUAUAUGUUAUAUAGUAUUUCUCUAUUUGUUUAGUGGUUUCCAGUACGGAAGGCUUGCAUAUGUUUUGUUAAUUUUUCCGUAAGUGUUAAACAUUUUUUAACGCUAUUGUGAAUACUGUUGUUUUGAUUUACUACCAUUUGUUCUCAGCCACCGUAUUUCCACAGUUCAGCAUAAGCACGUGUACAUCAUCCGCUUCCAUUAAAUGUACCGAGUUGGAUGAAUGGAUGGAAGGAUGGCUGGCUGGAGGAGCCAAUAGAUGCCGACAAGGUUCUUCAUGGCCAGUGUCUAGUAUCAUAUCUAAUAUAAUAUGGACAAUCAAAUGUUUGUGCUAACUCCAUUGUAUUCAGAGAAAGGAAGCAUUGAUAGCUCAUGGAAACAAGACUGCAGAGUCUUUUGCCCGACCAGGAUGAUGUAGGUUAGAAUGGGGCCCUAUAUAUGAAUCUCGAUGUCCUUGUCGCUCAUCAUGGCCAGGCAUAGGUCUUUAUUCAGUAAGUGCUUGCAGUAAUGGCAAUGAGCUAAACUCAGACUUCUCAUAGAUGUGCCUUCAGUUAAACGCUGAUUUCCUAAAGCUUUCCUUUGGCCAUAUCAUGUCUUUUGCUUCUGGUUUUCUCAUGUGUGCAAAAAUUAAAAUGUUUGAGAGUCACCUCUUGUCGAGGACCAGCCUAUAAGCCAAGGCUUUCUG